AAAAACUAAAGCAGAUAAUUAAUUAAGGAGAUUGCGUGAAACCUUGUCGUGAUUAAAAGGAAAAAAAAUGAAUAUGUACUGAAACCAAUAAUUCAAGCAAAUGAUCCAAACCAGACCAAGUGUGUGUGUGUGUGUGUGUGUGUGUGUGUGUGUGUGUAUGUGUAUGUAGAAAAAAGGAGUAGCAGCUGAUCACAAGCCACUUAAUUAAUCAAGAUUUGAAGAAUAUUGCAGCUAACCCUAACAAAAAUAU
RNAcentral lists this long non-coding RNA (250 nucleotides) under Malus domestica (apple). RNAcentral's name for it is "long non-coding RNA (MDOM_LNC005349)". The record is from RNAcentral. Lineage: Eukaryota; Viridiplantae; Streptophyta; Magnoliopsida; Rosales; Rosaceae.